AUACGGAGGAUCCGAGCGUUAUCCGGAUUUAUUGGGUUUAAAGGGUGCGCAGGCGGCCAUUUAAGUCAGCGGUUAAAUCGUGGGGCUCAACCCCAUUCUGCCGUUGAUACUGGGUGGCUUGAUUGCGGUCGAGGUUGGCGGAAUUCGUUGUGUAGCGGUAAAAUGCAUAGAUAUGACGAAGAACACCGAUUGCGUAGGCAGCUGACCAGACCGCAAAUGACGCUCAUGCACGAAAGUGCGGAGAUCGAACAGGAUUAGAUACCCUGGUAGUCCGCACAGUAAACGAUGAAUACUUAUUUUCGGCGAUAUAAUGUCGGAGGCAAAGCGAAAGCGAUAAGUAUACCACCUGGGGAGUACGACGGCAACGGUGAAACUCAAGGUAAUGGACGG
Molecule: ribosomal RNA, 390 nt
Filed under: uncultured bacterium
Lineage: Bacteria
Description: partial 16S ribosomal RNA
Rfam family: Bacterial small subunit ribosomal RNA
Source: RNAcentral